RNAcentral lists this long non-coding RNA (1811 nucleotides) under Scophthalmus maximus (turbot). RNAcentral describes it as "lncRNA (ENSSMAG00000024239.1)". The record is from RNAcentral. Lineage: Eukaryota; Metazoa; Chordata; Actinopteri; Pleuronectiformes; Scophthalmidae.
GUUUGGAGUUCUGUUCGACCUCGUCUGUCGUCGACGUUUCUACAAAGAAGCAAAAACUUCUCUCUGUCAAUUUGUUCACUGAGUUGUAGUAAUUCAAUAAAUCGCAUCACAGAUCAUAACUUUUUUUGGUUGCGAUGACUAAUUUCUUCAGUAUCUGUUGCGAGUGAACUCAUCUAAAAGCUAAUCAGUUUUUUUUUUCAGUCUUCAUUUUAUUUCUGAAAAGAAAAAGAAAUCAGGCAGAAAACUUUUUGCUCCCUCCUGUAAAAAUGAUAAUAAAUUAAUAUGCCUAUCGAGGGCUGGAUGGUUAUGGUAAUAAAUGUUCGGUAUGUUAACAUUUUUUAUAUGAAUAAUACACACACUCCAAAACAGAGAUUUUACUUCAGAAAUAAAUAAGAAAAUAACAUUAAACCAAAUAAAUAAAACAAAGACUCGCUGGUUAAAUGAAAGACACAAGUUUUGACUUUUACAACAUCCUUCACUCAAAAUGAAACAUUCUCUCUGUCCACUUCCUCUUCCCUCAGGUGCUCGAACACUCCCACCGGCCUCUCCACCUGCGUAAGGGCGACUUCUACUCCUACCUGUCGCUGUCCUCCCAUGAUAGCGACUGCGGCGAGGUCAGCCAGUGCUCCGAGGACAAGAGCUCCCCUCCGGCGCCGUACAGCAUCCCGUCGUACGUCACGCCGACACGGGGCCUCCGCAGCCCGAGCCCCGAGCUGUUCACGAGCACCAGGCAGCGACUGGCCUCCUCCGGGUCCUCCGAGCGCUCCUCGGCGAGCGCUGGCCCCAAGGACAACCUCCCCGCUCUGGACUUGAAGUCAGCUGAUGGCGGCCGCGAGGAAGAGGCGACCAGCCCGUCGCUGUCCCUGCCCCCCAGCCCUGACAUCAGGGACGAGGAGACCCUGUUUGCAGCUUGCACAGAGGAGGUCUACCUGGGCCCGCCUCUUUGCUACAGCAUGGUGCUCACCAGGAAACCGCGGACGCACCGACUGAGGGAGAACCGGUCGUCACCGAGCACCGGUCCAGAGGGUUUGCCUCGCUCCACACCAGGUGAUAUUCUGAGCCACUUGGACAGAAACCAGGAUCAGCUGUAUUUCCAGGGGCCCAGUCGUCCUCAGGGACGUUCCGCCUCCUCGCCCUCGACGACCACCUCCGCCUCCCGACCAGAGGACGAAAGCGCUCGCUCCUCUCCCCCUCCUCCUCCUGUGAAAGAGAGGCGAGCUGAGAACUCGCACCUCCUCUGUGAUGAUGUCGCUGGAAGAGAAUCGGCGGGCGCUGCGAGUGUCAGCGUGCCGCGGGCAGAGAGGAGUCGUAAUGAGGGGCCUCCUUAUCUUAAUCCCUGGGCACGUGUCGCCCCGAUAGACUCCUCUGCAGCCGAAUGUUUGGCAGGUACUGAGGCGCUUGAAUCCAAUAUGGGCGCCGUAAUGACCAAGAUAAGUGUCUGCGGCUCCGCUACAAAUCCCUCAAAAGAGCCGGGCGCCACGCGCAUUAAUCCCAAAAUUAACUGCGUGCCGAUGAGAGAGGCAGAUAGGGAGGAGGGGCCGCGGCGGGCGGAGGCGGACGCUCGGCGGGCAAAGCGGGAGGAGACUGGGAGGAGAGGGCGGAGCGGCUCGCACCAGGACGCCAAGGCAGCGGCGACAAAGCAGGUGAGCUCCCAGCCGGCUGUCAAUCAGGCCACCAGAGCCGCUCAGGGGCGGAGCCAGGCCUCGAUGAGGAACCCCGUACGAGUGAGUUUACUUCCUCUCACAAUCACGUCAUUAAGUUUUCCCUCACAUUCCCGCAAAACUUUAAGGAAAAAAACAACAACAUGUUAG